RNAcentral lists this ribosomal RNA (674 nucleotides) under Coraebus diminutus. Its description in RNAcentral is "eukaryotic LSU rRNA". It matches the Rfam family "Eukaryotic large subunit ribosomal RNA", at positions 670 to 1259 of the family's 3401-position model. The record is from RNAcentral. Lineage: Eukaryota; Metazoa; Arthropoda; Insecta; Coleoptera; Buprestidae.
GGAGUCUAGCAUGUGCGCGAGUCAUUGGGACCGAGCUAAACCUAAAGGCGAAAUGAAAGUGAAAGUUUGCCUCGCGCAAACCGAGGGAGGAUGGGCCGCGCAUCAGUCGCGGCCCCGCACUCCCGGGGCGUCUCGUUCUCAAUGCGAGAAGAGGCGCACCUAGAGCGCACACGCUGGGACCCGAAAGAUGGUGAACUAUGCCUGGUCAGGACGAAGUCAGGGGAAACCCUGAUGGAGGUCCGUAGCGAUUCUGACGUGCAAAUCGAUCGUCGGAACUGGGUAUAGGGGCGAAAGACUAAUCGAACCAUCUAGUAGCUGGUUCCCUCCGAAGUUUCCCUCAGGAUAGCUGGCGCUCGUUUUCCGAGUCUCAUCCGGUAAAGCGAAUGAUUAGAGGCAUUGGGGUCGAAACGGCCUCAACCUAUUCUCAAACUUUAAAUGGGUGAGAACUCCGGCUUGCUUGAAUGCUGGUGAAGCCGCGAGUUUUCUCUCGUUCUCGGCCGUUCGUUCAGUCGAAACGAGAGGAGGAGGAUCAGAGUGCCAAGUGGGCCACUUUUGGUAAGCAGAACUGGCGCUGUGGGAUGAACCAAACGUAGAGUUAAAGCGCCAAAAUCGACGCUUAUGGGAUACCAUGAAAGGCGUUGGUAACUUAAGACAGCAGGACGGUGGCCAUGGAA